This 407-nucleotide ribosomal RNA is filed under the name uncultured bacterium. Its description in RNAcentral is "partial 16S ribosomal RNA". It matches the Rfam family "Bacterial small subunit ribosomal RNA", at positions 28 to 526 of the family's 1533-position model. The record is from RNAcentral.
GACGAACGCUAGCGGCGUGCCUUAUACAUGCAAGUAGAACGCCGUUUCGCACGCGUGUGUAACGCGUAGGUAACUGCCCCAUAGCGGGGGAUAACCAUUUGAAACGAUAGCUAAUACCGCAUACUGUGAGAUGGACCUGCGUUGUAUUAGCUAGUUGGUGGGGUAAAGGCUCACCAAGGCGACCGUACAUAGCCGACCUGAGAGGGUGAUCGGCCACACGUGGGCUGGGAAACAGGCCAGAAUUCUUCGGGAGGCAGGAGUUGGGGAAUUUCGGCAAAGGAGGGAAGUCUGGCCGCGCAAAGCCGCGGGAUUGAAGAAGGGUCUCGGAUCGUAAAGCUCCGUUGUGAAAGAAGCGGUAACUGACCAGAAAGGGCCGGCUAACUACGUGCCAGCAGCCGCGGUAAUAC